This 397-nucleotide transfer-messenger RNA is filed under the name Polaribacter sp. It matches the Rfam family "transfer-messenger RNA". From Rfam's summary of the family: Bacterial tmRNA, also known as 10Sa RNA or SsrA, is named for its dual tRNA and mRNA-like properties. Its role is to liberate the mRNA from a stalled ribosome. Lineage: Bacteria; Pseudomonadati; Bacteroidota; Flavobacteriia; Flavobacteriales; Flavobacteriaceae. The record is from RNAcentral.
GGGGACGACUGGUUUUGACAGCGAGAUCAGCGAUAAUGUAAGCAUAUCAAGGAGUGAAAUGAUUACUUGUAAAACUUAUUUCAACACAAUAAACGGCGAAGAAAAUUACGCUUUAGCUGCUUAAUCUGAAUCAUAGUAAGAUUUGCCUCGUCUCAAAUAGUUUGAGAAAGCUAAAUGUCCACAAAAAGCCUUGGUUUACGGCGUUUUAGUUUUGGGCAUCGUAAAAGUAAACAUAGAAACUAAGUGGCUUCUACUUAUUUUCGAAACUCUAAGAAGCUAAGUAAAAAGUAGGUGGUCUUUAUCCAGCUUUUUAUCGAAAACUAAGUAAAGACUAAGUAUGUAGAAAGCAUUUGAACUGCUUGUUUGGACCCGAGUUCGAUUCUCGGCGUCUCCACAA